AAGGGAUUAAGAUAAAAGUUAGCUGCUAACUAAGCUUUGAAGCGGUUAAAUUCCGUUUAUCCCUUA
This 66-nucleotide transfer RNA is filed under the name Carinata rufipenna. Its description in RNAcentral is "tRNA-Ser". Lineage: Eukaryota; Metazoa; Arthropoda; Insecta; Hemiptera; Cicadellidae. RNAcentral also lists the same sequence under 1 other name. The record is from RNAcentral.